UACAGACAUGUAAACAAUUAAAUGCUCUGGCAGGAUUAACAGACACAGAACAAGAUAUCAAUUACCUCAGGGAAGCAAUGGCUGUUGUUCAGCAUCAUGAUGGUGUAUCUGGAACUGAGAAGCAAUAUGUAGCAGACGAUUAUGUUAGACUGCUUCAAAAUGGUAUACACUAUUGUAAGG
Long non-coding RNA from Ruditapes philippinarum (Manila clam), 180 nucleotides. RefSeq lists it as uncharacterized. Lineage: Eukaryota; Metazoa; Mollusca; Bivalvia; Venerida; Veneridae. The record is from RefSeq and is a predicted model, not a curated record. The transcript is spliced from 3 exons.